CGGGUUCAAUUCCCGUCGUUCGCCCGCGGAUGUAGCCAAGUGGAUCAAGGCAGUGGAUUGUGAAUCCAUCAUGCG
Molecule: transfer RNA, 75 nt
Filed under: Serjania erecta
Lineage: Eukaryota; Viridiplantae; Streptophyta; Magnoliopsida; Sapindales; Sapindaceae
Description: tRNA-His
Rfam family: tRNA (bases 26-75)
About the family: Transfer RNA (tRNA) molecules are approximately 80 nucleotides in length.
Source: RNAcentral